AGGGGAUUAGUUCAGCCCGGUAGAACGUCGGUCUCCAAAACCGAAUGUCGGCGGUUCGAAUCCGUCAUCCCCUGCCA
RNAcentral lists this transfer RNA (77 nucleotides) under Photobacterium sp. RNAcentral's name for it is "tRNA-Trp". It matches the Rfam family "tRNA". From Rfam's summary of the family: Transfer RNA (tRNA) molecules are approximately 80 nucleotides in length. Their secondary structure includes four short double-helical elements and three loops (D, anti-codon, and T loops). RNAcentral also lists the same sequence under 12 other names. The record is from RNAcentral. Lineage: Bacteria; Pseudomonadati; Pseudomonadota; Gammaproteobacteria; Vibrionales; Vibrionaceae.